AGCUCAUUUUAUGGACUAUAACUAGGACUCAGUAUGUUUCAUCAUUUUCAGCAAAAGGAAGGAAAUCAGCAUACUAGACCAACUCUCUGGGUAUGAUGCAACCUCAACAACUAAGAAGUUCAUCAGAAAAGAGAGAGAGAUGGAAAAGAUGGAUUGCAGCAUGAGGGAAGUGGAGACCACAGACAAGAAGAAUGACUGGUUGCCCAGCUGAGGUGGACAUAGUAUCAAGAGAAUGGUGACUGAGGCUGUCACUGUGGUUUCCUGCUCAUACCUCCUCUGUCUCCCCAAGAAGUCACCUGCAGACAGUUUCUAUACAUCUUUAAGGCUUCUGGAAUCUUUCUACCUAAAGGCAUUUUCUCAGCUAAGGAGCAUGCUCAGCCUGGGCAUUGGGCAGGAGGGAAGUGCCAGGGACUUAAGAAUGAAGAAUAGAAGUUCACAGACAAAUAGCUCAUGUUCUUCUCUCUUCAGUGGGACAGUUCUGUGGCAUGUUCUACAUUGUUUGUGAUGAUACGCUGCAGGAUUGAGCCUCAGUGUCCCAUGAUUACCAGUUUAUUAUAAAAGGAAACACCUCAGGAACAGCCAGAUGGAAGAUGCACAGGGCAGGUAUGUGGGAAGGGGCACAGAGCUUCCAUGCCUUCUAA
This is a long non-coding RNA of Orcinus orca (killer whale), 641 nucleotides long. RefSeq lists it as uncharacterized. Lineage: Eukaryota; Metazoa; Chordata; Mammalia; Artiodactyla; Delphinidae. The transcript is spliced from 3 exons. The record is from RefSeq and is a predicted model, not a curated record.